Molecule: ribosomal RNA, 255 nt
Filed under: uncultured bacterium
Lineage: Bacteria
Description: partial 16S ribosomal RNA
Rfam family: Bacterial small subunit ribosomal RNA
Source: RNAcentral
ACCUACGGGACGCAGCAGUAGGGAAUCUUCCACAAUGGGCGCAUGCCUGAUGGAGCAACACCGCGUGAGUGAAGAAGGGUUUCGGCUCGUAAAGCUCUGUUGUUGGAGAAGAACGUGCGUGAGAGUAACUGUUCAUGCAGUGACGGUAUCCAACCAGAAAGUCACGGCUAACUACGUGCCAGCAGCCGCGGUAAUACGUAGGGGGCAAGCGUUAUCCGGGUUUAUUGGGCGAAAAGCGAGCGCAGGCGGUUGCUU